AAGUCGUAACAAGGUUUCCGUAGGUGAACCUGCGGAAGGAUCAUUAUCGAGAGACUGAGGUCUAACCGGCCCCAACUCUUCGCCCUUGUAGACCUUACCUUUGUUGCUUUGACGGGUCAUCGGGAGUAGACCUCCCGUCGUCGGAUGCCCAGGAGUCUCUGUUCGCAUCUGAGGAGCGCCCGUCAGAGACCCUGCAAACACUGUUAGCAGCGAUGUCCGAGCACUUGUAUUAUAAUCGGCAAAACUUUCAACAACGGAUCUCUUGGUUCUG
Molecule: unclassified non-coding RNA, 271 nt
Filed under: air metagenome
Description: partial contains small subunit ribosomal RNA, internal transcribed spacer 1, and 5.8S ribosomal RNA
Rfam family: Eukaryotic small subunit ribosomal RNA (bases 1-46)
Source: RNAcentral